UACGUAGGGUGCGAGCGUUGUCCGGAAUUAUUGGGCGUAAAGAGCUCGUAGGCGGUCUGUCGCGUCUGCUGUGAAAUCCCGAGGCUCAACCUCGGGCUUGCAGUGGGUACGGGCAGGCUAGAGUGCGGUAGGGGAGACUGGAAUUCCUGGUGUAGCGGUGAAAUGCGCAGAUAUCAGGAGGAACACCGGUGGCGAAGGCGGGUCUCUGGGCCGUAACUGACGCUGAGGAGCGAAAGCGUGGGGAGCGAACAGG
Molecule: ribosomal RNA, 253 nt
Filed under: uncultured bacterium
Lineage: Bacteria
Description: partial 16S ribosomal RNA
Rfam family: Bacterial small subunit ribosomal RNA
Source: RNAcentral